GAUCUACCUUUUGUACAUUUUGUUCCUGCAUUUGUCAUUAAUCAGGACAAUGUUUUUUCCUGGUUGAAUUACAGCAAAAGACAUAAAUACAAAGAAUGAUGAUGUAAUAAACUUAUGCUUUAAUAUUCUUUUAUUGCAUCAUUAACAUAUCUGCCAAGCAAAAGUUUUAUGAAAAACUGCAUGUGGCAACAAAACAGUUCAAGUGGGCUCGUGGGAAGACACAGCAGAGGAAGUCGUCUGUACCAGCCAUAUUCCAGAGAGGCCUGUCCAGGGACACCAUCUUCGC
Branchiostoma floridae (Florida lancelet) is the source of this 286-nucleotide long non-coding RNA. RefSeq lists it as uncharacterized. The transcript has 3 exons. Lineage: Eukaryota; Metazoa; Chordata; Leptocardii; Amphioxiformes; Branchiostomatidae. The record is from RefSeq and is a predicted model, not a curated record.